RNAcentral lists this long non-coding RNA (424 nucleotides) under Setaria viridis. RNAcentral's name for it is "long non-coding RNA (SVIR_LNC010313)". Lineage: Eukaryota; Viridiplantae; Streptophyta; Magnoliopsida; Poales; Poaceae. The record is from RNAcentral.
GCGGAUGAAGAUAAUAAGUAUAUAUCUAUAUAAGUAUUGUGUUCGAAUAUCUAACAAAUGAGAGGUAGCUCAAGGUAAUAGUUUGUUAGCAUUGUGGUCUCAUUUUUUCCCCAUUGGAGACUCCGCAUAAAUUCUCAUAUGAUGCGCUAGAAAAAAAACAUAAAUCCUAGAAAUUUUUUAAAAAAUCAUAAACAUCAAACAUCAAUCUUGUAAACUCUAAUAGUCAUAGUCAUUGCAAUUAUAUUUUCUAAAAUGUUACCCACCAAAAUAUUUUAAAUUAAACCAUAAACUUAUAUCUAAAUUACCAAGCUCUGCCAUUGUAAAAAUAAUCUAAAGCAACCCCAUAAUUUUCAUCAAAUUUACUCAUGCAUACUAUAUAAACCAUAACCUAAAAUAUCAUUCUAAAUUUGUAUCUAAGUUACCC